GCUCAGCCAUGCCGCGUGAGUGAUGAAGGCCCUAGGGUUGUAAAGCUCUUUCGGCUGGGAAGAUAAUGACGGUACCAGCAGAAGAAGCCCCGGCUAACUCCGUGCCAGCAGCCGCGGUAAUACGGAGGGGGCUAGCGUUGUUCGGAAUUACUGGGCGUAAAGCGCACGUAGGCGGACCGGAAAGUUGGGGGUGAAAUCCCGGGGCUCAACCCCGGAACUGCCUUCAAAACUAUCGGUCUGGAGUUCGAGAGAGGUGAGUGGAAUUCCGAGUGUAGAGGUGAAAUUCGUAGAUAUUCGGAGGAACACCAGUGGCGAAAGCGGCUCACUGGCUCGAUACUGACGCUGAGGUGCGAAAGCGUGGGGAGCAAACAAGAUUAGAUACCCUGGUAAUCCACGCCGAAAACAAUGAAUGCCAGUCGUCGGGCAGCAUGCUGUUCGGUGACACACCUAACGGAUUAAGCAUUCCGCCUGGGGAGUACGGUCGCAAGAUUAAAACUCAAAGGAAUUGACGGGGGCCCGCACAAGCGGU
RNAcentral lists this ribosomal RNA (529 nucleotides) under uncultured bacterium. RNAcentral describes it as "bacterial SSU rRNA". It matches the Rfam family "Bacterial small subunit ribosomal RNA", at positions 386 to 933 of the family's 1533-position model. The record is from RNAcentral.